Molecule: ribosomal RNA, 497 nt
Filed under: uncultured bacterium
Lineage: Bacteria
Description: partial 16S ribosomal RNA
Rfam family: Bacterial small subunit ribosomal RNA
Source: RNAcentral
GACGAACGCUGGCGGCGUGCCUAAUACAUGCAAGUUGAGCGCCGAAGGUUGGUACUUGUACCAAUUGGAUGAGCAGCGAAAGGGUGAGUAACGAGUGGGGAAUCUGCCUUUGAGCGGGGGACAACAUCUGGAAACGAAUGCUAAUACCGCAUAAAAACUUUAAACACAAGUUUAAAGAUCGAAAGAUGUACUUGUAUCACUCAAAGACGAUCCCGCGUUGUAUUAGCUAGUUGGUGAGGUAAGGGCCCACCGAGGCGAUGAUACAUAGCCGACUUGCGAGGGGAAGCUGCUACAUUGGGACGGGAACACGACCCGAACGCCUGCAGGAGACAGCAGUAGGAGACUUUCGGCGGUGGACGAAAGUCGGACCGAGCAACGCCGCGUGAGUGAAGGAGGGUGUCGGGUCGUGAAACUCUGGUAGUAGUGAAGGUCGUUAGUGGGUGUUGAAAGCGCAUCAAGUGACGGUAACUACCCAAAAAGGGACGGCUAACUACGUG